This is a non-coding RNA of Drosophila bipectinata, 327 nucleotides long. Lineage: Eukaryota; Metazoa; Arthropoda; Insecta; Diptera; Drosophilidae. The record is from RefSeq and is a predicted model, not a curated record.
AAUCUGGUCAGACGGAAAGCGAAGUUUGAACGAAACGGACGCGCAGCUGACGCAUUAAAAUUAAAGAAAACUAUCCCCCGUUUUUGUUUUUUGCCGGCAUUUUGGCAGCAGUGUGGAAUAAACCAAAUAGCAAAGUAAAUAAAAAAAUAACAACAAAUUAAGCAAAUAAAAUAAACCCAAAAGAAAAACCGGUUAAAUCAAGUGACUAAAUAAAACACGUCAUUUUCCCAACAAUAUCUCUAGACAGCAACAGCAAGUUUUGGGCUCAAGGACGUCACCGGUGGAGUAGCGGUGGUAUCGGUAUCGGAUUGAAGGAGCAGCAGAGAG